Molecule: ribosomal RNA, 407 nt
Filed under: Wolbachia sp.
Lineage: Bacteria; Pseudomonadati; Pseudomonadota; Alphaproteobacteria; Rickettsiales; Anaplasmataceae
Description: bacterial SSU rRNA
Rfam family: Bacterial small subunit ribosomal RNA
Source: RNAcentral
GAUUUAUACCUAUUCGAAGGGAUAGGGUCGGUUUGGCCGGAUUUCACACAGGUGUUGCAUGGCUGUCGUCAGCCGUGUCGUGAGAUGUUGGGUUAAGUCCCGCAACGAGCGCAACCCUCAUCCUUAGUUACCAUCAGGUUAUGCUGGGACUUUAAGGAAACUGCCAGUGACAAACUGGAGGAAGGUGGGGAUGAUGUCAAGUCAUCAUGGCCCUUAUGGAGUGGCUACACACGUGCUACAAUGGUGAUUACAAUGGGCUGCAAGGUCGCAAGGCUGAGCUAAUCCUAAAAAAUCAUCUCAGUUCGGAUUGUUCUCUGCAACUCGAGAGCAUGAAGUUGGAAUCGCUAGUAAUCGUGGAUCAGCAUGCCACGGUAAUACGUUCUCGGGUCUUGUACACACUGCCCGUC